AUUUAUUAUUUUGACUAUUAAAAAAUAUGCUUGAUUUAUACGAUAAAAUUUUAUAUUUAUUUGUUAUAUUAACUAUUAAAAAAUAGAAUUGAUCAAUGCAAUAAAAUUUUACACUUGAUGUAGGUAAAAAUAAAAAAGAAAAGAUGUUAAGAGAAAAAUAUAAAAAAAUAAAUAAAAGAGUGAGAGAGAGAGUGUGAGAGUGUUGAGAGAAAAAAAAAGAAAAUAAGAAAAUAAGAGAGUAAGAGAAAAAACCCCCUCUCCCCCAAAACGCGAAGAGGACUCAAUUAGGCUCUCCUUUCACGUAUUACUAGCGAAAUACCCGCGCGAUAUUGCGGAUAUAAAAAUAUUUUUUCAAUAAAUUUUAGUUUUUUAUAUUAUUAAAUAAUUUUAUAAGUCUAAUUAUUAAUUAAAUAAAAUUUAUAUAAAAAUAAUUUAAUAGUUAAUUUUAUUUAAAUAAAAUUUAUUAAAACGACAACUUAUUUUAUAAAGAUUUAUGUAAAAAAAAGAUUUGAGUUAAUAUAUCAAAAUAAUUUUGAAAAAAUAAAUAGAA
This 550-nucleotide long non-coding RNA is filed under the name Ananas comosus (pineapple). RNAcentral describes it as "long non-coding RNA (ACOM_LNC013632)". Lineage: Eukaryota; Viridiplantae; Streptophyta; Magnoliopsida; Poales; Bromeliaceae. The record is from RNAcentral.